RNAcentral lists this ribosomal RNA (552 nucleotides) under uncultured bacterium. RNAcentral's name for it is "partial 16S ribosomal RNA". It matches the Rfam family "Bacterial small subunit ribosomal RNA", at positions 355 to 899 of the family's 1533-position model. The record is from RNAcentral.
UGGGGAAUUUUGGACAAUGGGCGAAAGCCUGAUCCAGCAAUGCCGCGUGUGUGAAGAAGGCCUUCGGGUUGUAAAGCACUUUUGUCCGGAAAGAAAUCCUUGGCUCUAAUACAGUCGGGGGAUGACGGUGCCGGAAGAAUAAGCACCGGCUAACUACGUGCCAGCAGCCGCGGUAAUACGUAGGGUGCAAGCGUUAAUCGGAAUUACUGGGCGUAAAGCGUGCGCAGGCGGUUUGCUAAGACCGAUGUGAAAUCCCCGGGCUCAACCUGGGAACUGCAUUGGUGACUGGCAGGCUAGAGUAUGGCAGAGGGGGGUAGAAUUCCACGUGUAGCAGCGAAAUGCGUAGAGAUGUGGAGGAAUACCGAUGGCGAAGGCAGCCCCCUGGGCCAAUACUGACGCUCAUGCACGAAAGCGUGGGGAGCAAACAGGAUUAGAUACCCUGGUAGUCCACGCCCUAAACGAUGUCAACUAGUUGUUGGGGAUUCAUUUUCCUUAGUAACGUAGCUAACGCGUGAAGUUGACCGCCUGGGGAGUACGGUCGCAAGAUUAAAA